GCCGUGGUAGCUCAGUGGUAGAGCAUCGAACGAGUUAUCCGAAGGUUGCAGGUUCGGUUCCUGCUCACGGCA
Molecule: transfer RNA, 72 nt
Filed under: Rhipicephalus microplus (southern cattle tick)
Lineage: Eukaryota; Metazoa; Arthropoda; Arachnida; Ixodida; Ixodidae
Description: tRNA-Thr
Rfam family: tRNA
About the family: Transfer RNA (tRNA) molecules are approximately 80 nucleotides in length. Their secondary structure includes four short double-helical elements and three loops (D, anti-codon, and T loops). Further hydrogen bonds mediate the characteristic L-shaped molecular structure. tRNAs have two regions of fundamental functional importance: the anti-codon, which is responsible for specific mRNA codon recognition, and the 3' end, to which the tRNAs corresponding amino acid is attached (by aminoacyl-tRNA synthetases). tRNAs cope with the degeneracy of the genetic code in two manners: having more than one tRNA (with a specific anti-codon) for a particular amino acid; and 'wobble' base-pairing, i.e. permitting non-standard base-pairing at the 3rd anti-codon position.
Source: Rfam by way of RNAcentral